AGUAAUGCCGUGAUGAGUGUCUUACUCU
RNAcentral lists this non-coding RNA (28 nucleotides) under Homo sapiens (human). The record is from RNAcentral. Lineage: Eukaryota; Metazoa; Chordata; Mammalia; Primates; Hominidae.